Molecule: ribosomal RNA, 253 nt
Filed under: uncultured bacterium
Lineage: Bacteria
Description: partial 16S ribosomal RNA
Rfam family: Bacterial small subunit ribosomal RNA
Source: RNAcentral
CACGUAGGGUGCAAGCGUUGUCCGGAUUUACUGGGCGUAAAGCGCGCGCAGGUGGUUCCUUAAGUCUGAUGUGAAAGCCCACGGCUCAACCGUGGAGGGUCAUUGGAAACUGGGGAACUUGAGUGCAGAAGAGGAAAGUGGAAUUCCACGUGUAGCGGUGAAAUGCGUAGAGAUGUGGAGGAACACCAGUGGCGAAGGCGACUUUCUGGUCUGUAACUGACACUGAGGCGCGAAAGCGUGGGGAGCAAACAGG